This 253-nucleotide ribosomal RNA is filed under the name uncultured bacterium. RNAcentral describes it as "partial 16S ribosomal RNA". It matches the Rfam family "Bacterial small subunit ribosomal RNA", at positions 524 to 776 of the family's 1533-position model. The record is from RNAcentral.
UACGAAGGGGGCUAGCGUUGCUCGGAAUGACUGGGCGUAAAGGGCGCGUAGGCGGCUUGCACAGUCAGGCGUGAAAUUCCUGGGCUCAACCUGGGGACUGCGCUUGAGACGUGUGGGCUUGAGUGGGGAAGAGGGUCGUGGAAUUCCCAGUGUAGAGGUGAAAUUCGUAGAUAUUGGGAAGAACACCGGUGGCGAAGGCGGCGACCUGGUCCUUGACUGACGCUGAGGCGCGAAGGCGUGGGGAGCAAACAGG